UUGACCUCAAAUCAGGUAGGACUACCCGCUUGAACUU
RNAcentral lists this ribosomal RNA (37 nucleotides) under Gymnopus vitellinipes. RNAcentral describes it as "partial 28S ribosomal RNA". Lineage: Eukaryota; Fungi; Basidiomycota; Agaricomycetes; Agaricales; Omphalotaceae. The record is from RNAcentral.